GCGUCGGUGGUUCAGUGGUAGAAUACUCACCUGCCACGCGGAUGACCCGGGUUCGAUUCCCGGCCGACGCA
This 71-nucleotide transfer RNA is filed under the name Rhipicephalus microplus (southern cattle tick). RNAcentral's name for it is "tRNA-Gly". It matches the Rfam family "tRNA". Rfam says of the family: Transfer RNA (tRNA) molecules are approximately 80 nucleotides in length. Lineage: Eukaryota; Metazoa; Arthropoda; Arachnida; Ixodida; Ixodidae. The record is from Rfam by way of RNAcentral.